GCCCCAAAAUGGGGGUUUUCAGCCCAAAAAUGGGGGUUUGAACCCAAAAAUGGGGGUUUUCAGCCCAAAAAUGGGGGUUUUGACCCAAAAAUGGGUGUUUUCAGCCCAAAAAUGGGGGUUUGAACCCAAAAAUGGGGAGUUUGGAUCCAAAAAUGGGGGUUUGAACCCAAAAAUGGGGGGUUUCAACCCAAAAAUGGGGGGUUUGGACCCAAAAAUGGGGGGUUUGGACUUAAAAAUGGGGAGUUUCAAUGCAGAAAUGGGGGGUUUGAACCCAAAACUGGGGAGUUUGAACCCAAAAAUGGGUGUUUUCAGCCCAAAAAUGGGGGUUUGAACCCAAAAAUGGGGGUUUUCAGCCCAAAAAUGGGGGGUUUCAGCCCAAAAAUGGGUGUUUGAACCCAAAAGUGGGGAGUUUGGACCCCAAAAUGGGGUUUUUCAGCCCAAAAAUGGGGGGUUUCAAUGCAGAAAUGGGGGGUUUGAACCCAAAAAUGGGGGUUUUCAGCCAAAAAUGGGGGGUAUGGACCUUAAAAUGGGGGUUUUCAGCCCAAAAAUGGGGAUUUACAGCCCAAAAAUGGGGGGUUUGGACCCAAAAAUGGGGGGUUUGGACCCAAAAAUGGGGAUUUUCAGCCCAAAAAAUGGGGAGUUUGGACCCAAAAAUGGGGGUUUGACCCAAAAAUGGGGGUUUUCAGCCCCAAAAAUGGGGAGUUUGAACCCAAAAAUGGGGGAUUUGAAGCUCAAAAUGGGCGUUUACAGCCCAAAAAUGGGGAGUUUGGACCUAAAAAUGGGGG
RNAcentral lists this long non-coding RNA (785 nucleotides) under Coturnix japonica (Japanese quail). Its description in RNAcentral is "lncRNA (ENSCJPG00005002931.1)". Lineage: Eukaryota; Metazoa; Chordata; Aves; Galliformes; Phasianidae. The record is from RNAcentral.